UUGGAAAAAUGAAUUUUGUAAGAAGAGUUGCUGUCAUUAUGGAAAAUUAUCAUAAUUAAUGCUAUUUCUUAAGGGAAUAAAAUAUUUAGUUGAUGAUAUAGUUCAUAUUUUUUCAGUAUAGAUACACCAAUCAUUACGGUAUCAAAUUGAUGAAGACAUACCACUGGAAUAUCUUAAUUCUCGUCAUUUCUCUGUAUUUCCAGUGUGUAAAUUACAAUUUAAAAUUGGAGCAGUGUGUUUAAUUAAAAUUUAAAAUUGGAGCUUAUUAAAAUUGGAAUAUCAAAUAUAGAUCAUGUAAUUUAACAAUCCGUAAUCUUGUACCAUUACAUAAACAUUCAAUUGCUAUAAAAUUAUGACUGGUGAUUAUGCUGGAGAAGUUGUAUUCCUUCCAUGUAUUAGAGAGAGGCAAUAAUUCUGCAAAUAGAUCAUCAUUUAUAUUAUAUCAAUGAUAAUUAAACAAAAUGUCUGUUUGUAGCACUGGUAGCAGUCGGUAAAUGAUGCUCAAAUAAAAAUCAGAAACAAAUCAGUUAGCCUAAUAGGCAUUAACAUCUGCAUGUGGGCCAUACAGUUCACAUGUUGUUUCCUUCCUGCCUUUACUGCUGCUUGCCAUGGUCCUUUAUGGUUUCCAAGAUGCUUUGUGUAAUGCUUGAGCACAAAACCAUGUCUAUGGUGUCGUCACCUCUGCAGUGUCUUUUACUUAACCCAGCACAAUGUAGUUGGUAUUUGAGAGACUUCACACUACCUAUUGCGCUAUGUAAAAAUUUUCAAGGUCAUGAAAAAAUUUUGUACCUUCCAGAUUUUCAGAAUGGAUUCAAU
This 816-nucleotide long non-coding RNA is filed under the name Androctonus crassicauda. Lineage: Eukaryota; Metazoa; Arthropoda; Arachnida; Scorpiones; Buthidae. The record is from RNAcentral.